AUUGAACGCUGGCGGCAGGCCUAACACAUGCAAGUCGAGCGGCAGCGGGAAAGUAGCUUGCUACUUUUGCCGGCGAGCGGCGGACGGGUGAGUAAUGCCUGGGAAAUUGCCCAGUCGAGGGGGAUAACAGUUGGAAACGACUGCUAAUACCGCAUACGCCCUACGGGGGAAAGCAGGGGACCUUCGGGCCUUGCGCGAUUGGAUAUGCCCAGGUGGGAUUAGCUAGUUGGUGAGGUAAUGGCUCACCAAGGCGACGAUCCCUAGCUGGUCUGGGAGGGAGAGCAGCCACACUGGAACUGGGACGCGGUCCAGACUCCUACGGGAGGCAGCAGUGGGGAAUAUUGCACAAUGGGGGAAACCCUGAUGUAGCCAUGCCGCGUGUGUGAAGUAGGCCUUCGGGUUGUAAAGCACUUUCAGCGAGGAGGAAAGGUUGAUGCCUAAUACGUAUCAACUGUGACGUUACUCGCAGAAGAAGCACCGGCUAACUCCGUGCCAGCCGCCGCAGUAA
This 508-nucleotide ribosomal RNA is filed under the name uncultured bacterium. RNAcentral describes it as "partial 16S ribosomal RNA". It matches the Rfam family "Bacterial small subunit ribosomal RNA", at positions 30 to 523 of the family's 1533-position model. The record is from RNAcentral.